GAUGAACGCUAGCGGCAGGCUUAAUACAUGCAAGUCGAGGGGGAUUAGUUUUGUAGCAAUACAAGAUUAUGAGACCGGCAAACGGGUGAGGAACACGUACGCAACCUUCCCAGAACUGGUGGAAUAGCCCUCCGAAAGGAGGAUUAAUACACCGUAACAUAAUGAAUGGGCAUCCAUUUAUUAUUAUAGUCCCGACGGUUCUGGAUGGGCGUGCGCCUGAUUAUGGUAGUUGGCGGGGUAACGGCCCACCAAGCCUACGAUCAGUAACUGGUGUGAGAGCACGACCAGUCACACGGGCACUGAGACACGGGCCCGAUCCUACGGGAGGCAGCAGUAAGGAUAUUGGUCAAUGGACGAAAGUCUGAACCAGCCAUGCCGCGUGAGGGAUGAAGGUCCUCUGGAUUGUAAACUUCUUUUUAA
Molecule: ribosomal RNA, 420 nt
Filed under: uncultured bacterium
Lineage: Bacteria
Description: bacterial SSU rRNA
Rfam family: Bacterial small subunit ribosomal RNA
Source: RNAcentral